Molecule: long non-coding RNA, 14065 nt
Filed under: Daucus carota (carrot)
Lineage: Eukaryota; Viridiplantae; Streptophyta; Magnoliopsida; Apiales; Apiaceae
Description: long non-coding RNA (DCAR_LNC001002)
Source: RNAcentral
ACGGAUGCAGAAUACGAAGCUGGCCACAAUUCCAUCAGUCGUAUCAAUGUAGAAGUACAUCCAUAUUUUACUGCUACAUGGAAUGGCGUUGUGGAAUUUCCGUACACAAAUUGGUGUGUUAGGUCCAAAGUAUCGUAGAAGGGGGGGGUUAAAUACAAUACUCACUAUAAUUUAAAAUUCUUUCGAAUCUUGCGGAUAAAUAAAUUGCAGUCCUGUAAUGGGUUUCGUCUUCCGGAUAUUUAUCGGGUCGGUUUCUGAGGAUAUGAAAAUAUUAAACCAACAAACAAUAUUUUCAAGGUAUAUCUGUAUAUUGAUAAAUACCUCGAAGGUGCUACAAAUCCAAACCCGAAGGUUGGCUACAAUGAACACUCCUCUAAAUAUUACAAGCCCUAUCCACUACAAAUAUUUAUGGUACAAAACUAGGCUAGGGUGUGUGUAUAUUUGAGAGAGUUUGUGCAUAGCACUUGGCCAUCCAUCCCGAAGGAUGAUGUUAAUUGUGAAAACCACAAUCACAUAUUUAUAGGCUUUCAUAAACUAACCAUGGUUAACGAGUUCGUCCUGGACGACUUGAGUUCGUCCUGGACGGAUUCAGAUAUUCAAAAUAAAACUAACUCCAAAACAAAGUUGCGCCAUAGCUGUUGAUUAGAGGAGCAACAUUUGACCAGGUCAAAUGUUGUUCCAAUAUAGUGCUUCCCUUGUAGUGUUUGUGACUUAGAAAUUAUUCUAAGUUACAAGGAGUUUAUGCCAAGAGUUGUUGGUAGAGGAGCAACAUUUGACUGGUCAAAUGUUGUUCCAAUAUAGUGCUUCCCUUGUAGAGUUUGUGACUUAGAAAUUAUUCUUAGUUACAAGGAGUUUGUGCCAAGAGUUGUUGGUAGAGGAGCAACAUUUGACCGGUCAAAUGUUGCGCCAAGUUCAAACCUUGCGCCCGGGUCAAACCUUGCGCCUUGGUCAAAUGUUGCGCCCGGGUCAAACCUUGCGCCUUGGUCAAAUGUUGCGCCAUAGAGUAUACAAGAGGUACUUGGUGACUUAGAGAAAUUCUAAGGCAAAUAUGAACUUGCUCCACCAUUGUAAUGCUUCCCUUGUUAUCACUCCUUUGACUGAGAUUGACUUGAGUUUGCUCCUCUCCCUACUUAGCCAAAUUAGCUCAAAUCUUGAGUUGGCACAAAUCAUAUAUUAUAUAUAUUAUAUUAUAUUCAUAAUAUUAUAUAAAUAUAUGUAUAAAUAAAGAUAUACAUAUAAAUAUAUAUAAAUAAUAUUUAUAUAAACAUAUAGUAAUAUAUAUAUAUAUAUAUAUAUUUAAAUAUAUUCUCAUAUAUUUAAAUAUAUAUAAUAUACAUAAAAUUAUAUGUAAAUAUAAAUAUAAAUAUAUAUAGGGAUAUAUAUAUAAUUAUCUAUAGAUAUAAAUAUACACAUAUUUAUGCACAUAAUAUAAUAUAUAUAUAUACACUUAAAUAUAUAAAUGUUUAUGUAAAAUAUAAAUACAUAUACUAUAUACAUAUAUAUUUAUUUAAAUAUAUAUACAUAUAAAUAUACAUAUACAUAUGUUUAAAAACAUAUAUACAUAUAUAUUAUAUAUAUUAUAUUUAAUUAAAUAUACAUAUAUACAUAUAUAAUUAUAUUUGUACAUAUACAAAUAUAUAAGUGCACACAUAUAUAAAAUGUCACUUCCUGAUAUGGCUUUCUGUGGAAGCUUUGACAUAUGGCAUUUGAGCAGUAAGCUUUGGCAUAGCUGGCAUUUGGCUUGGCUUGGCUUUGGAACAAAUGACUUGAUAUGACUGGAUCAAUUCUUCGAUCGAUAAAUACUUUGCAAAGCUUCGUACGUGCUGACGCUUAGUGCACUGGUCUGGUUCACAAGCGGCUAACACUGAAGUUAAACAUUGUACCGUCUUUGUCAGCAAACAUUGAUCAGUCGGUUCCGGGUUAGUUUAUGCUUCAGUUUGUUGAUUAUAAAUAACCAACCAAGAUAUAUAGAAAUAUCUUGCUUCAGGGGUUGCACUGAAAUCUUUCGAGUACUUGGACAACAUCUUCAUUGCUUCCACAAUCUUGAAUACUUCAAUCUUUAUUCUUCACUGAGGCAUGAACAUAUUAAUGAACUUCUUCCAGUGAACUUAUUCCUUCAAGACUGUAGAUGGCUUCUUCAACCUUUGUCUUCGUAUCUUCCGAUUCCGGUGCAGGCGUAGUGUUAUUUACUUGUCCUGUUCUAUUGUUGAGUUAUCAUCCCUAUGUAACAGAUAGGGUUGUCUUUACAUUUAGACUUACAAUAUCCCCCUAUUUGUUUGUUAAUCAUAACAAGCAAAUCCUCUGGAGGAUAACUCAACUAACACUAGAAAAAGUAAAGUCCUGGACUAGUAAAUAAUGCUACAAAGUUUCUGGAUCAUAUAAUACAUUUCCAGAUUUCAUGAAUAGAAAUAACAGAUGUGCAUAUCACCUUUAUUUCUCUGGUUCUUGCUUACCUGCCAGAUAAUCCUCAUAGUCUGUCUUGAAGAGAAUUCAAAACAUUCCAUUAUGCAAAGAACAAUCAGCAGCUUCAUUGAAUUCUUCAGUGGUAAUGAAUAAGUUCCUGUCUACCACUUACUGAAGAAUAAAUGUAUCACCUUAUACUUCUCCUCCCGUUACCUUGAUCAGGUUCCCCUUAGUGAUAAGUAGUUGUCUCCCCUUAGAUGAAAGAUCAAUCCUCCUCCUUAGUCUCAAGAAGAAUCUCCCCCUCAGUAGUACACAGCUAAAGAGUAGUUUAAUCCCCCUUAGUUGUAGACAGCUAAAGAAAGCUAACUUACUUUUUCUUCCCCCUUUCAUAUAUUCUCCCCCUAAAUAUAUUCUCCCCCUUAGUUGUGGAAUCCUCCGAGGAUAUGUGGUAUCAAAUAUGGUCAAGGAACGUGUCCAAUACAUCCUGUACCAAAAGAUAAUAUCCCCGUAGAGAACUAAACAACGCUAAAGCUGGGGUCGAAGAAAGAGUUCAGAAGAAGGGUUUACUUUGAUUGGGUUGGUCCCUAUGCUAAAAGAAUAGGUUCCAAACGGAAAAGUAAUGAAUAAGAACUGACAUUCCAGUAACAACAUCCACUUUGUCUUUAGGUAUAAAUUUGGUAAUUAGUGGGUGUCUCACUAAAAUGUUCUGCAGGUGUAUCACUCAACACUCAAUUUUCUCUCGGUUUUUGGGUAAGGGUGUCACUCACGAGUUCUGUAAGUGUAUCCCUCCACACAAAUACUGAGCUUCCAAAAUGCUGAGUACCUGCAAGAAAAUCACCUUAGCCACCCUUAAAGGGGGUCACCGGUGGUGCAAUGGGAGUUCGUAAUUCCCAGUCCCUGCAGACUCAUCAGAUAAAUCCGAAUCAUGGUCCACAAGUUGCCAACCACUAAGUGGCUUAUCCAAUUAAGGAUCCAGAGUUGUUUGCUCUAGGAGGUUAGGCAAAGACUUUAUUAUGGCAAAGGCCUAAGUCCUCCUCGAUGUCUGUGAAGACACUUGAUUCAACAGAAUCAUCAACCAUAGGUUCACAACAUGAAAUGGAAUGAACCGUAGUUGCUUCCGUCAAUUCUUUCAACAGCUUGUGAGCUUUCAAUACCAAUUAUUAUUAUAUGUACCUCACAAGUGUUUCAGUCUUCUCAAUUUCCUAUGUGUUUGCACCCACUCAUGNNNNNNNNNNNNNNNNNNNNNNNNUCAGAUGGUUCUUCUCAGAAUCUUACCAAGUGUUUAACUCUCAGUGUUUCUCUCAGCACUCAAAGUAUGAUCUUCUAUACCUGCAUGAGAAAAUCACCAUAGCCCCUUCAAGAGAGGUCACUGGCGGUGCAAUGGGGUUUCGUAAAUCCCCGAUCCUCAACUGACUCAUCAAUAAAUUGACUCAUAGUCAGAGAGUUGCCGAUCUCCUAUAAAUAGGAAAUCCAUUCCAAUUGGAUCCAGAUCUGUUCUUAUCUGGGGAGGGAGACGAGAAUCCUGAAGAUUUGGCAAUUGAGAUCCUCGUUUCCUCCUUACACCUGUAAAGGCAUCAACCAUCUUCUUUACCGUAAAAUGGUAAAUGAAGAAGUUGCUUCUGGAACAAAACCUUUAACCUUACUGUGCACUCUCUUGUAUUGUGUCCAUAAGAUUUUCUGUUUAGGCUCUUCAUCAGAGUGAUUACUAAUGAUGUGCUUGACUCAAUACAGGAUGCUCUGGCUGACGAGCGAAUUUCAAUGGACUCAUCCUGUUGAGAGAAUGAUUCCAGAGAUUGUUUAAUUGCCUUUUAAGCUCUAUAUUCUUUUGGGAGAAUACAGAUGAGCAACAGUUACCUCAAUUUUGAAAACACCUUUUCUCCUUGAGAGGUAGAGCUGUGGGUACACUAUCCCUUACAUCCUUAUUUGCUGCAACGAGUACAGUUUCUCCCUCAUUGACUUUUUGUUUGAAAAGUUCCUUAUUACUCCAGGGGAAAGUUGGGAUGUGUUUUGAAUUUGGUUUUAUAGUCUGGGAUAUAGAUUGUUGGUUUUCAACCUUAUGACUAUUUAGGAAAGCCAAGAGGCUGAUUAAGUACCGAAGAACAGAAUGAGAUAUAAAUGCACUUUAGAAAAUCUAUGAUUUUGAAUGAAGGCAAUUGUAUUUAAUCUUUUGAGAAAAAUGAAUCAGUUGUGAUUGUAAAAAAUGAUUUGCAUAAAGAAUGACAAUCACAACAGAUGAAAGAAUCAAGAUUUUCCAUUAAAAAUUGGUUUGAGUACGAGAGUCUGAAUCUAUGCAUAAAAGGUUUAAAUGAAGCUUUGAAAAAGACACAGACUCCUGUUUCUCACUACAAUUUAAAAAGGAAACAAGAAAAAUUUAUGCGCUACAGUGUAUAAAGCACUCGCCACACUAAUUAGUGAAAAGGCCUCAUACUAGCACAUCGUCAAAACAGACGCUGCAAGUGACAAAGAUCACCAAGUACACAAAUACAAGAUAAUCAAUGUCUCGUCCUAUGACGCUACAUGUAUAGAUGCAAAAUAUUCUAAGAAAUAUUUAUGAAAUAGAGUAGUGGAUACCAAUUGUUGAAAUCAAUUGAUAAGAAAAUUUCUUUGAAGAAACUCACCACUCCAGAACAUAAAUAUGAGACAGAAUAAAGAUUAUGUUGUCUCCCUUGUACUCAGAAUAUUAAACACCUAAAAUAUAUUAGCACUAGUGGUUUUAAGAAAUAUGCAACAAUAUUUCACCAGUGCCAAUACAUCACAAUCAAUUCACAAAUAAAACAUCAAUAAAGCAUCAAAGAGAGAUACCAAUUAAAUAAUUCAAAACGUUAAUUAAUCAUGCAUCUAUUAUUCUAUCAAAGUCAAUCAUGAAACAAAUAAGCAUAUAAUUGUCAUGGAUCACAAUUUAACUAAGAUAAAAUAAUAAUUACUUACGGAAUAUCAUAUAAUUAUCAGAUCAGCAUAUAACAACAAAAAUCAUGACAAUCAUACAAAGAUAUUCGUAAGCCCGAGGGAAAGUUGAAGAAAAGUUCACGAGUCUUAUACAUGUAAGCAUUGAGUACAAGUAAACUCACACAACUCCUCGCAGAAAAUAUUAACAAUUAAUAUUAGUGAUCUACAUAUAAGCAUGCAAAAAAUCACUAACACUAAAAGUAUCACACCUAUAUGCAGUUAGACAUGAAAUAAAAUACCAAUUAAUAAAUCAUCAAAUAUCUAACACAAAUAGCUAUGCUUCACAUAUAUACACUAAUAUAAAUGGAUUCAGCCUAGAGAGAAUCUAAGUAACUCCACAAAUACUAGUAUAUCAUGACUAAAUUCUAACUAGAUUCUAACCACAUACCAAUUACUGAUACAAGUCACAAGUCUAGAAACAAAUAAGUCAUGCUUCAGAUUUUAUACCUAUAAAAAUGAAUUCAACCUAGAAAAUAAUCCUAAGUAUGUUCACAAAUACAGAUAUAUCACGACUAGAUUAUGACAAAGUUCUCUACUAGAUACCAAUUGUUAAAGAGGUAUAGAUCAAGAAAAAUAACAUAAUUAAGUCAUGCUUCAUGUCAUCUCUAAUCAUUUAAAUCAUGAACAAAUAAGUCACUUAAUUGUCAUGCAACACAAUUUAAAUAAUUUGAAAUAACAAACACUCAUGCUAAAACAUAUAAUCACCAUCUAAGCAUGCAAAGCAAUAAACAUGGCAAUCACAUAUAAUAGCAAAAAGCACGAGGUACUGGAUUUUAAAUAAAUUCACAAGUCCUAUGUAUAGACAAUUUAAUACUCAUGAAUUCAUUCAAGAAAUACGAUAGACAUGCUCAUGAAAGAGGUAAUACCUUAUAGAAAAUAUAUCAUGUGAUCCACUUGCAGUUAAGUAAAGUGAUAAGUUGAAUACCUCUGAGACUUGACAUUUCAGUUGAUGUACCUUUCUUGUACUGAUCAAGUCCAGUGAUUGUUGGCAUAAGUCUUGGCAGGUCUAAAAUCUUCCAAAAUGCGCAUAUUCAAAGGAUCCUUGACUUCCUUUUAUUGCCAUCAUUCUUUAGGCUAACUAGUAUGCCAUAAAGAAUUGCAACUUUCCAACAAACUCAUCAUAUCACUAAUCUGCAUUCACUUAGCAUUUAUCAUGCACAAGUGACGUUAGUCCACAUAUAAUAUAAUCAUGGUAUCACAGCACAUAUAUUUGUAUUGUGUGUGCCUUGUAUCAUGAGAGGUAAUAAUUUGGAUACAAAAUAUGACUCUAGCAAACAGAUAUUAAGAUAAUAUGCUAGUCAGAAGUCAUACCAUGUCCGUGACGAUCAUCAGGUGUUGGAUAGCAACUCAUAGAGAGCUGGUGAAGAAAGAGAAUACAAAUUCCGUUGGAUCUGCAACUGCAAAGUCCUUGAAAUGUUGCAUGAAGCUUCAUCUUCUAGCUCACUGUAAUAUCCUGAACCCGAGUCUCGUCAAUGCUGCUUUAGUUCAAUCGUGAAGGUCGUUGAGUCCUCUAAGAUGUAGAGUCCUGAACUUGAAGAUUCUGUUUCCAUCAUCUUCAUAACCUUCUCCUUUAAAGUAACUCUAAGCAACCAAUUUGGCUUGUCCCUCGUAACAAAGCCAAAAAUUAUCCAGUUGGAAUCUAAAUACCCGACAAGUACUAAGUACUGAAUUGUCAUUAGGUCAGGGUAUCAGACUCCGCACAAUCUGCUUUUAAACUGAUUGAGAUCAUCUUGCUGUGCAAUCACUUUAUCUGGAUCCCUUUAAGAGCUUCUGAAUCUUCCCCAAGUUUCACUUCAGAUUGAAACCCAAAGAAAUAACAUCCUUUCACAAUAGCUCUCCCAGUCUUCACUUCACCAUUAGGAACAUAUAAGAACUAGAACCCGAGAAUGAUAUUGACUUCAAACCCUUUGUCUAAGCAGAUACGUUCUUCAUAUGUCCUGUUCAUCUUCAAUGUAGUGUUGAGUUUGACUAGUGGAUCCACCAAAUGCUCCCCCUAAGCUGUUGCUGGGAUUUCUUGAUAAACCUUAUCCUUGUAAAGAAAUUCUGCUUGGAUUUGAACCAUCAUUAUACCAAUAAUAUCACCUUUAACAGCUUGGAGCAAAGUGUCAUUCAAUGUCCCGUCUAGACUUACAAUCACCUUCUAUUGAUCAAUCAUAAUCACCCUGCAGACUGUAGACUCCAUUGAGUAGCCGAGGAAAGUAUUCUUUGAUCUUCAAAUGCAAAACUUGCAAAGAGGCAUUUUCCUCCAAACACAUACCAAGAGUUAGUGUUUGCUUCUGAUUGGUCACUGGAAAGAAUGGUGUCUUUCUGGAUUUAUCAAUGAUCAGGGUUCAUCUUGAUCAACCUCCAUCUGUGACGUCUUGUCCUUCGAACAUAUAUGAACAACACGAAAGAAUCUAGAGUAGUCAACGAUCAUCGCAAAAAGAUAUCUGGAUUUGUUGUAGAUAUAACAUUAACUGAUUUGUAGAAAUCCAUAUGUAUCAUCUGAAGCGGCUCAGUAAUGUUAAUCAUAUCUUUGCUUCUAUACGAUGCUCUUUCGACUUCCCUAUUGAUAUACCUCAUGAGCUUCAUCCAUAUUGAAUUCCAGAUGAGGUAGCCCUCUCACAAAUUCUCUUCUUACGAAUAAAAAGAGCUCCUUGUUUUGACAUACAAGCUUGAGAGCUUCAAGUGCCAUAGCUAAUACUCAUCCGAUGAAGCUUCUCUAUCGAAACAGCUCACUUCAUCUUCAGUUGAAGUUCCAUAUUAGCUACGAGCAAAAUUCACAUCCUUCCUGAUUUAAGAUAAAACACUAUUCCAUGAAAUGACAUAAUGUCCUUUGUCAGAGAACCGUAUGAUACUAGGAAUGUGUGUUUUGACUUCUUGCAAGAAGGAUAUGCUUCCAUGAUGACAUUCCAGGAAAACAGGCAUGUCCCGAGAGAAUCUUUGUUGUCAUCUUUCAAAGAUUAUUGACGGAACUGCUCACACGAUCACAUUUGCUAACAGGGUACUUUUGGUGAAUCAUAUGAUUUCAGCUACUCAGCAAACAGAGUGCACCAAAAAUCAUAUGGAACAUAUGUAACCUGCAAUCACAAAUGGAAAGAGUUCUAUGGUCCCCAAUCAUAACUGGGUCCGGAUGGAUUAGAGAUUUUUCUUUAACAGUGGUAACAACAGAAGCAACCUUAACAUGCUAAUUCUUAUCUAGACAUUGCCCUAAUGUGAUUCUCAAACAUGCUUUUGUUCUAUGGUCCCCAAUCAUAACUGGGUCCGGAUGGAUUAGAGAUUUUUCUUUAACAGUGGUAACAACAGAAACAACCUUAACAUGCUAAUUCUUAUCUAGACAUUGCCCUAAUGUGAAUCUCAAACAUGCUUUUCUAAAAUCAAUGCAAGUACAAAGACAUGCAUUCAUGACAUGAAAAUAAACAGACAUGAUGUUGAAUACACAUGGCAAACAAUCAAAGAUAAGACAAUAGCAAGACAGGUAGUUAUGCAAUUUAGAAGAUUCAGUACUUUCUACUUAAACCAAUUAACACAAGUGUAACAGGUAGAAAGCAGAAUUACAGAUAUUCAAUAAUCUCCUAAACACAUAAUGAUCAUAGACAAAUUAAUAAUCACAUUAUCAAUUCAUACUAAUCCCACUCUAUGGCAUUAUGCUAUCUCUAUUACCUAAGUCAGUUUUAGAUCUAACAUGAAGUUCUACAGACACAAGGUAGACAUUCCAUCAUAGAACAAAUAAAUCCCUUAACAAACAAUUCAGAUUAGAUAAGCAAAUCUAAUUGUACUAGGGAAUCUGAAAGUAAGUGUUUUAACAAAGUUAUAUAUGCUAGGAUCAUAACCCCUAAAACUAAGAGUCGUGUUCCAAAGGAAAGCUUCUAAACUCACCAUUGCAAAUAAUCAUAUCCUAAAUAUUCAUACACAUGUUAAAAAUCUGCUAGAGACACAUGCACAAGAUUAUCAUCAAACCUAGUUACUAGAGAAGUGAUCUAGCAUACUAGUUCAACAUUAUCUAUUGUGAUGCUAUCAUGCUUGUGCUUGUGUGUUAAACAAUUCUACUCAGAGAUUUAUAACAUGCUUUGAAUAUAAAGAAAUAUGUAUUGCAUAGUUAGAAAGAAUUCGUACCUGAGAUGUGCGAGUUGAGUCAUCUUCAGAGAAUGCUAGGAUAGCCAGAUAACCAUAAUCGUCCUUUUCAUCAGCAAUUGAUCCAUCUCACACCUUUCCUAAAAUAGCAUAAGAACUUGUUGUGAUGCUUCUUUCAAAACAUCCACUUGAAUUUUAUACAAGCCCUAUCAUCCUUGUUUGUCGAGGCUUCAAUAUGUAUAGCAACCUUCUUUUGCUAAAGAUACCAAUCAAUAUUGUGUGUACUGACCAACUCAGUUUUCAAACAACCUGUCGAACUGAACCCCGAAGAUUCUUUGCUAAAGAUACCAAUCAAUAUUGUGUGUACUUACCAACUCAGUUUUCAAACAACCUGUCGAACUAAACCCCGAAGAGUCUCCACUUGAAACCAAUGGAUUCCAUCUGAAUCUGACAUGACUAAACCUCUCACACAGUGUUAUGCUAAUCCUUGAAGUUCUGUCCUCACAUUCUUCAAAAAUGUUAACUUUCGUCGACUUGAGCUUCCUCAAAUUCAGUAGUUACAAACUCUCCUGUUUAAUCCCAAGGUUCUGACAUUAAUGCACGAAACUGAUUUGGUACGGUAGUAACUCGAUAAUUAUAUCCUUAAACCUCCACAGUUCUCUGUCUUUGGUUCAGUUGAUUCUGGAUGGAUUUAGCAUUGAUACAAUUCACUGUGUAAUUGUAUAUCCCUGAAUCACUGAGUUCGAUUGAAAUCCCUUGAAGAUUCGUCCGUAAAAACUUCUAUUUUCCUACUACCAGUGGUGCCAUUCAAAGUUGACAUUCCGAGCCCUGGGAAGAUGCACUCAACACAUAAAGCAAGUUCCCAUCCUGAUCUGUUGAUCUGAUAAUCAAGUAGGAGUAAUUACUCAGAUCAAGGCCUGAAGUACCUUCUUCAAAAUCCACUGUCAGUAGUACCAAAUUAGUCUUCAAUAGAAUCUUCUUCGAAUCACAAUCCUCUUUGUCGAACAUAGAAAACUGCUUCUAAUAAUCCUUUGAGAAAUCAAUUGGAUUGGGUUAUCAAAGUACUUCCAUUACCGGUUCUGAGAAUCUGGUUUUUGAAAGCCCGGUGUUUGUCUUGUAAUCUGUCAGCCUGAUCUGUCUCAACUAAAUGUCAAUCUGAUUUGUCUUGGAGUAGAAUAAUUAAAAAGGUUACGGGACACUUGAUUAUUUAAACUAAGUUUAAAUUAUAAAGAAAAUAAAUUUAAAAAUAAGUUUUAAAAGAUGAAAGAAAAUAAAGUAUAAAAUAAACUUAGUUAAAUCUAUAAAGUAAAUUUAAUUAUAUUUAAAAAAUAAAUUCAAAUAAAUUCAUAAUAAACUGAAUAAGUUUAGAAUAAAUUUAUUUCAAAUUCAUUUAGUAAAUAUAUUAAAAUUUAUUAGAUAAAUUUAAUUUUUGAAAAUAUUCAAGUGUCUCGUCUCCAAUUAAAUCAUAGCUUCCAGAACAAAUUAAAUUGAACCCUUGAACUUGAACUUAUAUCCAUAAUCAGUUAAAUCCUCUUAAAUUUAUAUUUUAUAUUUUAACUUAAAUUUAAAUCAUAAACUAUACAAAUUUAAAUAAUAAAUUUAUAAAAAUUUAUGAUAAACUUGAUAAAGUCUAAGAGUAAACUUUACAAGUCUAAAAUAAAUUUAGGCAAAUUUAUUAAAUGAAUUUAGUAAAGUUUAUAAAGUAAAUUUAAUUAAGUUUAUAAGAUAAAUUUAAUUAAUUCAUAAUAAACUCAAUUAAUAAGUUUAAAAUAAAUUAAAUCAAAUUUUUAAAUAAACUUAUUAAAAUUUAAAGUAUAAAUUUAUAAGUCCCGGUCCAAAGUUCAGUAUCCAACAGAUAAUCCUUACUUAGGCCUACGGACAAAUUCAGCAACACCAACCGGAAGAACAUUUCCCCUAAUCAAAUAUCAAAAGCUAGGUUCUUGAUUUUCCGUACGAUAAGGAUCCUGAUUUGUAUAUCAAUCAGCCUGGCUCUGAUACCAAUUGUUAGGUCCAAAGUAUCGUAGAAGGGGGGGUUGAAUACGAUACUCACUACAAUUUAAAAUUCUUUCGAAUCUUGCGGAUAAAUAAAUUGCAGUCCUGUAAUGGGUUUCGUGUUCCGGAUAUUUAUUGGGUCGGUUUCUGAGGAUAUGAAAAUAUUAAACCAACACACAAUAUUUUCCAAGGUAUAUCUGUAUAUUGAUAAAUACCUCGAAGGUGCUAUGCUACAAAUCCAAACCCGAAGGUUGGCUACAAUGACCACUCCUCUAAAUAUUACAAGCCCUAUCCACUACAAAUAUUUAUGGUACAAAACUAGGCUAGGGUGUGUGUAUAUUUGAGAGAGUUUGUGCAUAGCACUUGGCCAUCCAUCCCGAAGGAUGAUGUAAAUUGUGAGAACCACAAUCACAUAUUUAUAGGCUUUCAUAAACUAACCAUGGUUAACGAGUUCGUCCUGGACGGAUUGAGUUCGUCCUGGACGGAUUCAGAUAUCCAAAAUAAAUCUAACUCCAAAACAAAGUUGCGCCACAGCUGUUGAUUAGAGGAGCAACAUUUGACCAGGUCAAAUGUUGUUCCAAUAUAGUGCUUCCCUUGUAGAGUUUGUGACUUAGAAAUUAUUCUAAGUUACAAAGAGUUUGUGCCAAGAGUUGUUGGUAGAGGAGCAACAUUUAACCGGUCAAAUGUUGCGCCAAGGUCAAACCUUGCGCCUGGGUCAAAUGUUGCGCCCGGGUCAAACCUUGCGCCUUGGUCAAAUGUUGCGCCCGGGUCAAACCUUGCGCCACAGAGUGUACAAGAGGUAUUUGGUGACUUAGAGAAAUUCUAAGGCAAAUAUGAACUUGCUCAACCAUUGUAAUGCUUCCCUUGUUAUCACUCCUUUGACUGAGAUUGACUUGAGUUUGCUCCUCUCCCUACUUAGCCAAAUUAGCUCAAAUCUUGAGUUGGCACAAAUCAUAUAAUUCGAUUUAACAAAAUAAAUCUAACUCCAAGAAAGUAAAAGUGGCGCCUGAGGUAUACAGUGUGUAUAUAUAUAUCAAAGUUGCGCUUGAUAUAUAUAUACACAUAUAUUCAAAUGUUGCGCCUCCUUUAUACUCCACUGUAUUGCCUUAGACUGAAUUCUAAGUACAGGGUCAAAGGUUGCGCUUAGCAAGUCAAACCUUGCGCUGCACUUUGCUUCACAUAGAGACAUGACUUAGAUUAAUUCUAAGUGAAGGUUGCGCCAGUAUCUUCCCUUGUAUGUGUGGCGCCAACUUUGACCAAAAGUCAACAGUUGCGCCAGUUGCUUCGAAGGCUUGCAGUGAUGACUUGGAAAUCGUCUAAGUAGAGCACACUCUUGGAGGCGCAAACUUUGACCAAGUCAAAGUUUGCGCUCCAACAGAGUUACAUGGACUUGUGUACUUAGUCAAAUUUCCAACGAGACAACUUGGCGCAGGUUUUGACUUCGAGUCAAACCUUGCGCUUCAUUUUGUUUACAGAGUAGAGAAGAGGAAAUAUUCUAAGUGUAGGAAGGUUAUUGAGGCGCAAACUUUGACUUAGUCAAAGUUUGCGCUUCAACAAUGUUGGCGCCUCCCCUAGUGUACUUAGACCAUUUCUUGACUUACAUACUUGCAUCACUUAUUAAAUAUAUAUAUAUAUAUAGAACUAAUUGUGUUUAAUUAAUUACUUGAAUUAUUUAUAUUCAAGUAAUUCAUACUUCCUGAUAUGGCUUUCUGUGGAAGCUUUGACAUAUGGCAUUUGAGCAGUAAGCUUUGGCAUAGCUGGCAUUUGGCUUGGCUUGGCUUUAUAUAUAUAUAUAUAUAUAUAUAUAUAUAUGAAUAAAUUCUUUGGCCAUAUUCUGGAGUAGCUCGAUUGACUUGAUCAAUUAAUUCGUUGAUCGAAUCCACUGAAUACUUUCGUACGUCCUGACGUCCUGUGCACUGGUCUGGUUCACAAGCGACUAACACUGAAGUUAAACAUUGUACCGUCUUUGUCAGCAAACAUUGAUCAGUCGGUUCCGGGUUAGUUUAUGCUUCAGUUUGUUGAUUGUAAAUAACCAACCAAGAUAUAUAGAAUAUCUUGCUUCAGAUGUUGCACUGAAAUCUUUCGAGUACUUGGACAACAUCUUCAUUGCUUCCACAAUCUUGAAUACUUCAAUCUUUAUUCUUCACUGAGGCAUGAACAUAUUAAUGAACUUCUUCCAGUGAACUUAUUCCUUCAAGCCUGUAGAUGGCUUCUUCAACCUUUGUCUUCGUAUCUUCCGAUUCCGGUGCAGGCGUAGUGUUAUUUACUUGUCCUGUUCUAUUGUUGAGUUAUCAUCCCUAUGUAACAGAUAGGGUUGUCUUUACAUUUAGACUUACAAUCUCCCCCUAUUUGUUUGUUAAUCAUAACAAGCAAAUCCUCUGGAGGAUAACUCAACUAACACUAGAAAAAGUAAAGUCCUGGACUAGUAAAUAAUGCUACAAAGUUUCUGGAUCAUAUAAUACAUUUCCAGAUUUCAUGAAUAGAAAUAACAUAUGUGCAUAUCACCUUCAUUUCUCUGGUUUUUGCUUACCUGCCAGAUAGGUGCCCCACUUCUUUUUGUGCUUUUAUUAUGGCAUCAAGUAUUGCAUCAAAUUCGUGUUACUGCGUAGUGAAGCGGUGUCCACCAAUCUUCAGUAAAAUUUACAAGGUGUUUGGCAUCUUUCAAGUGCCG